Molecule: unclassified non-coding RNA, 494 nt
Filed under: Hevea brasiliensis (rubber tree)
Lineage: Eukaryota; Viridiplantae; Streptophyta; Magnoliopsida; Malpighiales; Euphorbiaceae
Source: RNAcentral
UUCCUUACAGGUUAAUAUUUUUGAACUAUAAGUAUGCUAGUUCAUUUAAUUUCUAUUGUUUGUGAGGGCUUAGUGUCAAAUCUAACUGCCUAACCUGUUGUUUCUAGUUUUGUGCACUCUCUGAUUUGUUUAUGUAGACUGGAUGGAUGCAUUUGCAUCUUAACUUUGUUUAGUAUCAAACAUAUGGUGUAGUUAGUUGCUCUUUUGUCACAAACUGAUAAUUAGACUGGAGUACAUCUGCUUUGCCAUGUAAUUAAUUAGUACAGUUGGUUUGUUUUGUUUGUGCUCAUUGUUUAUCUGUGGUACUGGUGAUUAAUUCUUUUUUGUUUUAAUGUGUUAACUGUUAACUGUAGUGCUGGUAGUUAUUUUAUGGGUUUUCUUUACUGAGUGGCUUAUUUGGCACUUACCAAUUAUAAUUGGCCUCAUUUCAAAUUAUAUAAAGCUACUUUGGAACUGAUGUGCUUAUUUUUAUUGCAGAGAAAAUAAGAAUUUGA